This is a small nucleolar RNA of Suncus etruscus (white-toothed pygmy shrew), 213 nucleotides long. RefSeq annotates it as small nucleolar RNA U3. The transcript has a single exon. NCBI's taxonomy places the organism in Eukaryota, Metazoa, Chordata, Mammalia, Eulipotyphla, Soricidae. The record is from RefSeq and is a predicted model, not a curated record.
AAGAGUGUAUUUUCAGGGAUCAUUUCUAUAGUAUGUGACUAGAGAAGUUUCUCUGAUCGUGUAGAGCACCCAAAGCCACGAGGAGGAGCCAGAGCGUCCUCCCUGAGCAUGAAGCCAGCUCUAAGUAUAUCUUCUGUGACCACCUUUGGCCAUUGAUGAUCGUUCUCCCUUUCCUUUGCAAAGGGUAGAAGGAGAGGAUGCAAUCUGAGUGGU